This is a long non-coding RNA of Pipistrellus kuhlii (Kuhl's pipistrelle), 100 nucleotides long. RefSeq lists it as uncharacterized. The record is from RefSeq and is a predicted model, not a curated record. NCBI's taxonomy places the organism in Eukaryota, Metazoa, Chordata, Mammalia, Chiroptera, Vespertilionidae. The transcript is spliced from 4 exons.
GCGGAGCGCAAAGAAAAAUCUAAUCUAAAUCAUUAAGAUAAAUGAUCACCAAGUUAAAAGAUUUGAAAAAAAUGCCUUUUUAAUAAAAAUUGCAUUUGUC